Molecule: long non-coding RNA, 227 nt
Filed under: Elaeis guineensis (African oil palm)
Lineage: Eukaryota; Viridiplantae; Streptophyta; Magnoliopsida; Arecales; Arecaceae
Description: long non-coding RNA (EGUI_LNC061408)
Source: RNAcentral
AGGGUCAUGAUAGAUUUGACUUGUUUGAAAAAAGUUUCUGGGCCAAUGGAGCUCUCAGCCAUGUACUGCCCCUUUGGAUUACUAAUAGGUUAGCUGAGUAAUUUGCCUUCCUCCCUCUUAUUCAAGGUUAUAGCUAGUUGUCCUACCUGGGCUUCUAGCUUUGCAAUUGACUGUGUGUGGGAAUGCAGUACCUAUAGUUCUUGCAGAAUCUUUUCAAGGGCAGCAUU